This 2348-nucleotide ribosomal RNA is filed under the name Shigella dysenteriae. Its description in RNAcentral is "partial 23S ribosomal RNA". It matches the Rfam family "Bacterial large subunit ribosomal RNA", at positions 1 to 2366 of the family's 2925-position model. Lineage: Bacteria; Pseudomonadati; Pseudomonadota; Gammaproteobacteria; Enterobacterales; Enterobacteriaceae. The record is from RNAcentral.
GGGUUGUGAGGUUAAGCGACUAAGCGUACACGGUGGAUGCCCUGGCAGUCAGAGGCGAUGAAGGACGUGCUAAUCUGCGAUAAGCGUCGGUAAGGUGAUAUGAACCGUUAUAACCGGCGAUUUCCGAAUGGGGAAACCCAGUGUGAUUCGUCACACUAUCAUUAACUGAAUCCAUAGGUUAAUGAGGCGAACCGGGGGAACUGAAACAUCUAAGUACCCCGAGGAAAAGAAAUCAACCGAGAUUCCCCCAGUAGCGGCGAGCGAACGGGGAGCAGCCCAGAGCCUGAAUCAGUGUGUGUGUUAGUGGAAGCGUCUGGAAAGGCGUGCGAUACAGGGUGACAGCCCCGUACACAAAAAUGCACAUAUUGUGAGCUCGAUGAGUAGGGCGGGACACGUGGUAUCCUGUCUGAAUAUGGGGGGACCAUCCUCCAAGGCUAAAUACUCCUGACUGACCGAUAGUGAACCAGUACCGUGAGGGAAAGGCGAAAAGAACCCCGGCGAGGGGAGUGAAAAAGAACCUGAAACCGUGUACGUACAAGCAGUGGGAGCACGCUUAGGCGUGUGACUGCGUACCUUUUGUAUAAUGGGUCAGCGACUUAUAUUCUGUAGCAAGGUUAACCGAAUAGGGGAGCCGAAGGGAAACCGAGUCUUAACUGGGCGUUAAGUUGCAGGGUAUAGACCCGAAACCCGGUGAUCUAGCCAUGGGCAGGUUGAAGGUUGGGUAACACUAACUGGAGGACCGAACCGACUAAUGUUGAAAAAUUAGCGGAUGACUUGUGGCUGGGGGUGAAAGGCCAAUCAAACCGGGAGAUAGCUGGUUCUCCCCGAAAGCUAUUUAGGUAGCGCCUCGUGAAUUCAUCUCCGGGGGUAGAGCACUGUUUCGGCAAGGGGGUCAUCCCGACUUACCAACCCGAUGCAAACUGCGAAUACCGGAGAAUGUUAUCACGGGAGACACACGGCGGGUGCUAACGUCCGUCGUGAAGAGGGAAACAACCCAGACCGCCAGCUAAGGUCCCAAAGUCAUGGUUAAGUGGGAAACGAUGUGGGAAGGCCCAGACAGCCAGGAUGUUGGCUUAGAAGCAGCCAUCAUUUAAAGAAAGCGUAAUAGCUCACUGGUCGAGUCGGCCUGCGCGGAAGAUGUAACGGGGCUAAACCAUGCACCGAAGCUGCGGCAGCGACACUAUGUGUUGUUGGGUAGGGGAGCGUUCUGUAAGCCUGUGAAGGUGUACUGUGAGGUAUGCUGGAGGUAUCAGAAGUGCGAAUGCUGACAUAAGUAACGAUAAAGCGGGUGAAAAGCCCGCUCGCCGGAAGACCAAGGGUUCCUGUCCAACGUUAAUCGGGGCAGGGUGAGUCGACUCCUAAGGCGAGGCCGAAAGGCGUAGUCGAUGGGAAACAGGUUAAUAUUCCUGUACUUGGUGUUACUGCGAAGGGGGGACGGAGAAGGCUAUGUUGGCCGGGCGACGGUUGUCCCGGUUUAAGCGUGUAGGCUGGUUUUCCAGGCAAAUCCGGAAAACUAAGGCUGAGGCGUGAUGACGAGGCACUACGGUGCUGAAGCAACAAAUGCCCUGCUUCCAGGAAAAGCCUCUAAGCAUCAGGUAACAUCAAAUCGUACCCCAAACCGACACAGGUGGUCAGGUAGAGAAUACCAAGGCGCUUGAGAGAACUCGGGUGAAGGAACUAGGCAAAAUGGUGCCGUAACUUCGGGAGAAGGCACGCUGAUAUGUAGGUGAAGUCCCUCGCGGAUGGAGCUGAAAUCAGUCGAAGAUACCAGCUGGCUGCAACUGUUUAUUAAAAACACAGCACUGUGCAAACACGAAAGUGGACGUAUACGGUGUGACGCCUGCCCGGUGCCGGAAGGUUAAUUGAUGGGGUCAGCGCAAGCGAAGCUCUUGAUCGAAGCCCCGGUAAACGGCGGCCGUAACUAUAACGGUCCUAAGGUAGCGAAAUUCCUUGUCGGGUAAGUUCCGACCUGCACGAAUGGCGUAAUGAUGGCCAGGCUGUCUCCACCCGAGACUCAGUGAAAUUGAACUCGCUGUGAAGAUGCAGUGUACCCGCGGCAAGACGGAAAGACCCCGUGAACCUUUACUAUAGCUUGACACUGAACAUUGAGCCUUGAUGUGUAGGAUAGGUGGGAGGCUUUGAAGUGUGGACGCCAGUCUGCAUGGAGCCGACCUUGAAAUACCACCCUUUAAUGUUUGAUGUUCUAACGUUGACCCGUAAUCCGGGUUGCGGACAGUGUCUGGUGGGUAGUUUGACUGGGGCGGUCUCCUCCUAAAGAGUAACGGAGGAGCACGAAGGUUGGCUAAUCCUGGUCGGACAUCAGGAGGUUAGUGCAAUGGCAUAAGCCA